RNAcentral lists this ribosomal RNA (429 nucleotides) under Bacillota bacterium. Its description in RNAcentral is "Firmicutes bacterium partial 16S ribosomal RNA". It matches the Rfam family "Bacterial small subunit ribosomal RNA", at positions 355 to 776 of the family's 1533-position model. Lineage: Bacteria; Bacillati; Bacillota. The record is from RNAcentral.
UCGGGAAUCUUCCGCAAUGGACGAAAGUCUGACGGAGCAACGCCGCGUGAGUGAUGAAGGUUUUCGGAUCGUAAAAUUCUGUUGUUAGGGAAGAACAAGUAUCGGAGUAACUGCCGGUACCUUGACGGUACCUAACCAGAAAGCCACGGCUAACUACGUGCCAGCAGCCGCGGUAAUACGUAGGUGGCAAGCGUUGUCCGGAAUUAUUGGGCGUAAAGCGCGCGCAGGUGGUUCUUUAAGUCUGAUGUGAAAGCCCACGGCUCAACCGUGGAGGGUCAUUGGAAACUGGGGAACUUGAGUGCAGAAGAGGAAAGUGGAAUUCCAAGUGGAGCGGUGAAAUGCGUAGAGAUUUGGAGGAACACCAGUGGCGAAGGCGACUUUCUGGUCUGUAACUGACACUGAGGCGCGAAAGCGUGGGGAGCGAACAGG